GACGAACGCUGGCGGCGUGCUUAACACAUGCAAGUCGAACGGAAAGGCCCUGCUUUUGUGGGGUGCUCGAGUGGCGAACGGGUGAGUAACACGUGUGUAACCUGCCCUUGACUUUGGGAUAACUUCAGGAAACUGGGGCUAAUACCGGAUAGGAGCUCCUGCUGCAUGGUGGGGGUUGGAAAGUUUCGGCGGUUGGGGAUGGACUCGCGGCUUAUCAGCUUGUUGGUGGGGUAGUGGCUUACCAAGGCUUUGACGGGUAGCCGGCCUGAGAGGGUGACCGGCGACAUUGGGAAUGAGAUAAGGCGCAGACGCCUACGGGAGGCAGCAGUGGGGAAUAUUGCACAAUGGGCGGAAGCCUGAUGCAGCAACGCCGCGUGCGGGAUGACGGCCUUCGGGUUGUAAACCGCUUUCGCCUGUGACGAAGCGUGAGUGACGGUAAUGGGUAAAGAAGCACCGGCUAACUACGUG
This 468-nucleotide ribosomal RNA is filed under the name uncultured bacterium. Its description in RNAcentral is "partial 16S ribosomal RNA". It matches the Rfam family "Bacterial small subunit ribosomal RNA", at positions 28 to 507 of the family's 1533-position model. The record is from RNAcentral.